UGUUAGUAUAUAAAUGUUCAUGUUUAAUGUGCAGUAUACUUGGCAGAAAAACUUACACCGUGCUACCACCUCGCGCUCGAAUUAAGAAAAGUACUGACCCGAGACAGAUUGUACGUUCCGCUAUUCUUUGUAACAGAGUGGCAGGUCGUAUUGCUAUCAAAUGGAUGAACGCGCCCAUUCACGAUGGUUCUCAUUGGUGACAACCUGUUGCUGCAAUGGCGUAAUCAAAAUUUUGUGGAUAUAAUUUGUAAUGUUUGUGUCUAAUAUUUCAUAGAUAUAUAUUCUGAUAGAAUUUUCUUUUCUAA
This is a long non-coding RNA of Apis cerana (Asiatic honeybee), 305 nucleotides long. RefSeq lists it as uncharacterized. Lineage: Eukaryota; Metazoa; Arthropoda; Insecta; Hymenoptera; Apidae. The record is from RefSeq and is a predicted model, not a curated record.